AUUGAACGCUGGCGGCAUGCCUUACACAUGCAAGUCGAACGGCAGCACGGGUGCUUGCCCCUGGUGGCGAGUGGCGAACGGGUGAGUAAUACAUCGGAACAUGUCCUGUAGUGGGGGAUAGCCCGGCGAAAGCCGGAUUAAUACCGCAUACGAUCUACGGAUGAAAGCGGGGGACCUUCGGGCCUCGCGCUAUAGGGUUGGCCGAUGGCUGAUUAGCUAGUUGGUGGGGUAAAGGCCUACCAAGGCGACGAUCAGUAGCUGGUCUGAGAGGACGACCAGCCACACUGGGACUGAGACACGGCCCAGACUCCUACGGGAGGCAGCAGUGGGGAAUUUUGGACAAUGGGCGAAAGCCUGAUCCGGCAAUGCCGCGUGUGUGAAGAAGGCCUUCGGGUUGUAAAGCACUUUUGUCCGGAAAGAAAUCCUUGGCCCUAAUACGGUCGGGGGAUGACGGUACCGGAAGAAUAAGCACCGGCUAACUACGUG
This 486-nucleotide ribosomal RNA is filed under the name uncultured bacterium. RNAcentral's name for it is "partial 16S ribosomal RNA". It matches the Rfam family "Bacterial small subunit ribosomal RNA", at positions 30 to 507 of the family's 1533-position model. The record is from RNAcentral.